This 521-nucleotide unclassified non-coding RNA is filed under the name Helotiales sp. 1 KO-2013. Its description in RNAcentral is "partial contains ITS1, 5.8S rRNA and ITS2". The stretch from base 180 to 333 matches the Rfam family "5.8S ribosomal RNA". Lineage: Eukaryota; Fungi; Ascomycota; Leotiomycetes; Helotiales. The record is from RNAcentral.
AGGGAUCAUUACCGAGUUCAUGCCCUUACGGGUAGACCUCCCACCCUAUGUUAUAUUACCUUUGUUGCUUUGGCGGGCCGCCCGGCUUCGGCCAGGCUACCGGCUCCAGCUGGUAAGCGCUCGCCAGAGGACCCUCAACUCUGAAUAUCAGUGUCGUCUGAGUACUAUGAAAUAGUUAAAACUUUCAACAACGGAUCUCUUGGUUCUGGCAUCGAUGAAGAACGCAGCGAAAUGCGAUAAGUAAUGUGAAUUGCAGAAUUCAGUGAAUCAUCGAAUCUUUGAACGCACAUUGCGCCCCUUGGUAUUCCGAGGGGCAUGCCUGUUCGAGCGUCAUUACAACCCUCAAGCACUGCUUGGUAUUGGGCUCCGCUGGCUCCAGCGGGCCUUAAAAUCAGUGGCGGCGCCGUUUGGGCUCUGAGCGUAGUAAAUAUCCUCGCUAUAGAGACCAGGCGGUUCUUGUCAUCAACCCCCAACUUUCUAAGUUUGACCUCGGAUCAGGUAGGGAUACCCGCUGAACUUAA